Salmo salar (Atlantic salmon) is the source of this 59-nucleotide non-coding RNA. The record is from Rfam. Lineage: Eukaryota; Metazoa; Chordata; Actinopteri; Salmoniformes; Salmonidae.
UGGCUCAGUUGGUAGAGCAUGGUGUUUGAAACACCAGGGGUUGUGGGUUCGAUUCCCAU